Molecule: ribosomal RNA, 514 nt
Filed under: uncultured bacterium
Lineage: Bacteria
Description: bacterial SSU rRNA
Rfam family: Bacterial small subunit ribosomal RNA
Source: RNAcentral
GACGAACGCUGGCGGCGUGCCUAACACAUGCAAGUCGAGCGGGUUGAGGCGAGAGGUAACUCGAGGCUUCUACCUAGCGGCGGACGGGUGAGUAACGCGUGGGCAACCUGCCUCAAGGUUUGGGAUAACAGCCCGAAAGGGCUGCUAAUACCGGAUAAUGCCUAUGGCCUCGCAUGGGGCUAUGAGCAAAGGGGAACCCGCGUUGAGAUGGGCCCGCGUCCCAUCAGCUAGUUGGUGAGGUAACGGCCACCAAGGCGACGAUGGGUAGCCGGCCGUGAGAGGGUGAACGGCCACACUGGGGACUGAGACACGGCCCAGACUCCUACGGGAGGCAGCAGUUGGGAAUCUUCGGCAAGUGGGCGCAAGCCUGACCGAGCAACGCCGCGUGAGUGAUGAAGGUUUUGGAUUUGAAAGCUCUGUCUUCCGGGAGAUAAGGGACGGUACGGAGGAGGACGCCGACGGUACUAACUACGUCGACCGAGCGACGGCCGGUACGGUAACUCACUUACUCGUA